GCCGGGCAUGUUGGCACAUGCCUGUAAUCCCAAUGGCUUGGGAGGCUGAGGUAGGAGGAUUGCAAGUUCAAAGCCAGACUCAUCAAAAACGAAGUGCUAAGCAACUCAGUUGAGACCCCGUCUCUA
RNAcentral lists this small RNA (126 nucleotides) under Marmota monax (woodchuck). The record is from RNAcentral. Lineage: Eukaryota; Metazoa; Chordata; Mammalia; Rodentia; Sciuridae.